RNAcentral lists this ribosomal RNA (503 nucleotides) under Acanthamoeba genotype T4. Its description in RNAcentral is "partial 18S ribosomal RNA". The record is from RNAcentral. Lineage: Eukaryota; Discosea; Longamoebia; Acanthamoebidae.
AGGAGGGUCAUGUGGCUACGCCAUCCCCGCGCCCCGGCCGAAACCGAGACGCCAAGGAUGACCGCGCAACCGAUGGUGGUGUUUUGUAUUCAACGUCUCCUAAUCGCUGGUCGGCAUCGUUUAUGGUUAAGACUACGACGGUAUCUGAUCGUCUUCGAUCCCCUAACUUUCGUUCUUGAUUAAUGAAAACAUCCUUGGCAGAUGCUUUCGCAGAAGUUAAUCUUUCAUAAAUCCAAGAAUUUCACCUCUGACAAUUAAAUAUUAAUGCCCCCAACUAUCCCUAUUAAUCAUUACCCUAGUCCUCGCGCUGCCAAAACCAACUGAAAAUAGGAGGACAGGGUCCUAUUCCAUUAUCCCAUGCUAAUGUAUUCGGUGGCAGAAAAUUGGAUCUGCCUGCUUUGAACACUCUAAUUUUUUCACGGUAAACAUCUGGGCCAAACUGGGCCUUCACGGUAAACGAUCUGGGCCACUGGGCCUUAACGGAAACCCAUUUGGGCUACAGA